AUAGGGAAUAUGCCCGGCCAAGAAUAGUGCGCCACCCAGACUGGAGUGUCUACCCCGGUGAGGGGAACGGUAACGAGCAUCGAGGUGUCAGGUGAAAGGUAGAGAAAAAAAGAGCUACCAGGGGUGGAACUGGCAUAGCUGAUAAGAACAUGAGGGUGAAUGUACCAAUAUAAAGGGUGCGACCAAGGGCCUCUUAAAAAGCUAGUAGGGAGGGAUGGUUCCGGGCCAUCGAGAUGACCUUGAGAGUGUAACCAGUGGCCUCUUAAAAGGCAUAUUGGGAGGAGUUACGAUCUAUGUCCGUGAAACGCAGGACUGUGUAUCUAUGAAGGAAGGAUAGAGGAUUUUACGUGCUGGGCUAAGGCAUGGGACCCCACUUGGAGCGGGAUAUUCAUGGUUACCAAGAGUAGGUAUCCUUACAUAUGAAUGGAACGUUAAAAAAUGAGGUGGAACAGGUCUGUCCAUUAGGCAAAUUGACUCAACAGAUAAUUAUCAGAGGCUACGAGCUUAUAU
Thamnophis sirtalis is the source of this 510-nucleotide non-coding RNA. NCBI's taxonomy places the organism in Eukaryota, Metazoa, Chordata, Lepidosauria, Squamata, Natricidae. The record is from RefSeq and is a predicted model, not a curated record.